GGCGGCGACGAAGACUCGAAGACGGCGGCGAGGUGCUCCUGCUGCUUGCCGUCGUCCUCUCAGCUGCAGUCCCAGGCGGUGACAGUGCGCGCCCUGCGCGCCCGCAUCUACCACGCCGUCGCGCCGGCGGAGCUCCUCCUAGCGGCGUUCCGCCGCGUGUCCGUGCUCGCCGAGGAAGCUGCGGCGGCGCUCCCGGCGGACCCCGCGGACGCCGAGUGCGUGGCGGGGCGGUGGUGCGCGCGCAUCGACCGCGCCAUCGCGCCGGCGGAGCUCCUCCUAGCGGCGUUCCGCCGCGUGUCCGCGCUCACCAAGGAAGCCGCGGAGGCGCUCCCGGCGGACCCUGCGUACGCUGAUGGCGCGGUGGGGUUCGUCGGCCACGUGGACCAGCUGUGCGACGCCAUCGAGGAGGCGGUGGCGCGUGGGGACGAGGCCGUGAGGAGGGUGGAGGAGGUCGCCAUCGGCCGCAGUUGCGUGCGGCGGCUGACCAAUGCGGUGGCGGCGGCGCUGCGCGCGGUGUAUGAGGCGGAGGCGGAGGAGAUGCGCUUCGAGGGCCCUCUCGACGAGGCGCUGCUCGACCUCCAGGACCUCUUCGAGGCGGCGAGGAGGCGGUCGGAGAGGCCCGCCACGAUGGGGAAGAAGAGAGCAGCUGGUCACACUCGACACCCAGCUGCGUUGCUCGACCAUGCCCUGCAGGAGACCAACGCUAGCAUCCACGCUGCGCUCGACUGCGCUCGAGGUUACCUUGCCGGCAAGCUCCCUCUCCGGCUUGACUCCGGGAAGAUGAUGGGAGAAGGAAGGAAGAAGACGGAAAAGAUGGGGGAUGGAUGGAAAAUGUGACGGUAGUGGU
RNAcentral lists this long non-coding RNA (847 nucleotides) under Oryza sativa aus subgroup. RNAcentral's name for it is "lncRNA OsNaBo_02g0017270". The record is from RNAcentral. Lineage: Eukaryota; Viridiplantae; Streptophyta; Magnoliopsida; Poales; Poaceae.